RNAcentral lists this ribosomal RNA (551 nucleotides) under uncultured bacterium. RNAcentral's name for it is "bacterial SSU rRNA". It matches the Rfam family "Bacterial small subunit ribosomal RNA", at positions 355 to 896 of the family's 1533-position model. The record is from RNAcentral.
UGGGGAAUCUUCCGCAAUGGGCGAAAGCCUGACGGAGCAACGCCGCGUGAGUGAAGACGGCCUUCGGGUUGUAAAGCUCUGUUAUACGGGACGAAUAGUCUUGUGGUUAAUACCCAUAAGAAGUGACGGUACCGUAAGAGAAAGCCACGGCUAACUACGUGCCAGCAGCCGCGGUAAUACGUAGGUGGCAAGCGUUGUCCGGAAUUAUUGGGCGUAAAGGGCGCGCAGGCGGCUUCUUAAGUCUGUCUUAAAAGUGCGGGGCUUAACCCCGUGAUGGGAUGGAAACUGGGAAGCUCAGAGUAUCGGAGAGGAAAGCGGAAUUCCUAGUGUAGCGGUGAAAUGCGUAGAUAUUAGGAGGAACACCAGUAGCGAAAGCGGCUUUCUGGACGAAAACUGACGCUGAGGCGCGAAAGCCAGGGGAGCGAACGGGAUUAGAUACCCCGGUAGUCCUGGCCGUAAACGAUGGGUACUAGGUGUAGGAGGUAUCGACCCCUUCUGUGCCGGAGUUAACGCAAUAAGUACCCCGCCUGGGGAGUACGGCCGCAAGGUUG